GACGUAGGAGGCGAGCGUUAUCCGGAUUCACUGGGCGUAAAGAGCAUGUAGGCGGAUGUCUAAGUCGUGUGUUAAAGCCCCUGGCUCAACUGGGGGAGGUCAUGCGAGACUGGAUGACUUGAGGGCAACAGAGGCACGUGGAACUCCCGGUGUAGCGGUGGAAUGCGUAGAGAUCGGGAAGAACACCCGUGGCGAAGGCGGCGUGCUGGGUUGCAACUGACGCUGAGAUGCGAAAGUGUGGGGAGCAAACGGG
RNAcentral lists this ribosomal RNA (253 nucleotides) under uncultured bacterium. Its description in RNAcentral is "partial 16S ribosomal RNA". It matches the Rfam family "Bacterial small subunit ribosomal RNA", at positions 524 to 776 of the family's 1533-position model. The record is from RNAcentral.